RNAcentral lists this ribosomal RNA (253 nucleotides) under uncultured bacterium. RNAcentral describes it as "partial 16S ribosomal RNA". It matches the Rfam family "Bacterial small subunit ribosomal RNA", at positions 524 to 776 of the family's 1533-position model. The record is from RNAcentral.
UACGGGGGGGGCAAGCGUUGUUCGGAUUUAUUGGGCGUAAAGGGCUCGUAGGCGGUUUGUCGCGUCGGGAGUGAAAACACGGGGCUUAACCCCGUGCCUGCUUCCGAUACGGGCAGACUAGAGGUAUGCAGGGGAGAACGGAAUUCCUGGUGUAGCGGUGAAAUGCGCAGAUAUCAGGAGGAACACCGGUGGCGAAGGCGGUUCUCUGGGCAUUACCUGACGCUGAGGAGCGAAAGUGUGGGGAGCGAACAGG